RNAcentral lists this ribosomal RNA (481 nucleotides) under uncultured bacterium. RNAcentral describes it as "partial 16S ribosomal RNA". It matches the Rfam family "Bacterial small subunit ribosomal RNA", at positions 28 to 507 of the family's 1533-position model. The record is from RNAcentral.
GAUGAACGCUGGCGGCGUGCUUAACACAUGCAAGUCGAACGAAGCACUUUAUUUGAUUUCCUUCGGGACUGAUUAUUUUGUGACUGAGUGGCGGACGGGUGAGUAACGCGUGGGUAAACUGCCUUGUACAGGGGGAUAACAGUUGGAAACGGCUGCUAAUACCGCAUAAGCGCACAGCAUCGCAUGAUGCAGUGUGAAAAACUCCGGUGGUAUAAGAUGGACCCGCGUUGGAUUAGCUAGUUGGUGAGGUAACGGCCCACCAAGGCGACGAUCCAUAGCCGACCUGAGAGGGUGACCGGCCACAUUGGGACUGAGACACGGCCCAAACUCCUACGGGAGGCAGCAGUGGGGAAUAUUGCACAAUGGGCGAAAGCCUGAUGCAGCGACGCCGCGUGAGCGAAGAAGUAUUUCGGUAUGUAAAGCUCUAUCAGCAGGGAAGAUAAUGACGGUACCUGACUAAGAAGCACCGGCUAAAUACGUG